RNAcentral lists this ribosomal RNA (428 nucleotides) under Reticulitermes flavipes (eastern subterranean termite). Its description in RNAcentral is "partial 16S ribosomal RNA". It matches the Rfam family "Archaeal large subunit ribosomal RNA", at positions 1889 to 2554 of the family's 2987-position model. Lineage: Eukaryota; Metazoa; Arthropoda; Insecta; Blattodea; Rhinotermitidae. The record is from RNAcentral.
CGCCUGUUUAUCAAAAACAUCUCUUCUCGUUAGUUUUUGAAGUAUGGCCUGCCCACUGACCUUGAAUGUUGAAGGGCCGCGGUAUUUUGACCGUGCAAAGGUAGCAUAGUCAUUAGUUCUUUAAUUGUGAUCUGGUAUGAAUGGCUUGACGAGGCAUGAGCUGUCUUAAUUUUGAAUUGUUUAUUGAAUUUGGUCUUUGAGUUAAAAUUCUUAGAUGUUUUUAUGGGACGAGAAGACCCUAUAGAGUUUUACAUUUAUUAUGGUCUCUUUCUGUUUGUGAGGGUUCAUUAGGGCUGUUUAAUAUGUUUUGUUGGGGUGAUGGGAGGGAUAUUGUUUAACCCCUCCUUUAUGUUGUUAUAUUUAUUUAUAUUUGCUUGAUCCAUUUAUUUUGAUUGUAAGAUUAAAUUACCUUAGGGAUAACAGCGUAA